GGGUCAUUAGGUUGGUCGUGCCACCGGUACGUACUGGUCUCACUGAUUCCUCCUUCCUGAAGAACCGUAAUGCCAUUAAUUUGGUGUUGCGGGGAAACAGGACUGUUACUUUGAAAAAAUUAGAGUGUUUAAAGCAAGCUAACGCUUGAAUACAUUAGCAUGGAAUAAUGAAAUAGGACGAUCGAUCCUAUUUUGUUUGUUUCUAGGAUUGACGUA
This 216-nucleotide ribosomal RNA is filed under the name Glomeromycotina sp. RNAcentral's name for it is "partial small subunit ribosomal RNA". The stretch from base 40 to 216 matches the Rfam family "Eukaryotic small subunit ribosomal RNA", at positions 686 to 864 of the family's 1831-position model. Lineage: Eukaryota; Fungi; Glomeromycota. The record is from RNAcentral.